Pelmatolapia mariae (spotted tilapia) is the source of this 387-nucleotide non-coding RNA. NCBI's taxonomy places the organism in Eukaryota, Metazoa, Chordata, Actinopteri, Cichliformes, Cichlidae. The record is from the annotation of a RefSeq genome assembly.
AUGACUCUCAUCACCAUCCUCAUCUGGACGCUGACCUGCUGCUGUUUUACAGGAUGCAGCGGUCAGGUGACUGUGACUCAACCUCCAGUACUGACAUCUACUCCUGGAUCCACUGUCACUCUGACCUGUAGGACCAGCCAAGCUGUUCACAGAUUUGAUGAUGGUGAUGAUGCUAUGUACUGGUAUCAACAGAAACCUGGACAGGCCCCAAAACUCCUAAUAAAAUGGGCAAAAACGCUUGAGUCAGGAACACCAUCUCGAUUUAGUGGCAGUGGAAGCAGCUCUGACUUCUCUAUGACCAUCAGUGGAGUUCAGGCCGAAGAUGCAGCAGUUUACUACUGUAAGAGUUACCAUGAAAUAAACAGUGCUGCAGUGUUUACACAGUGA